GGGGCUUUAGGCAAUUAUCUCAACACCUGUUUUCGUUUCUCUCGUCCCGAGGAUGGGUAGGGACGAAAGGGGGAGAUUUUAGAUCUGUAAAUAUUUUUAAAGAGAAAAAAUAAAACAUUUUAAGCAUCGUUGCUAACUUUGGUGAUUGGUUGCCUGGGGUGCUAGAGCGCGGAAGGUUUUCUGGCUUUUCGGCGGAGGGAUUGCCAGCGUGAGUCACUGAGGUCUGGCUCGCCCCACGUGGAGGGUGGGGCCGGGGUCAGGGGUCAAAACUCGGGACCUUGGCGCUGCGCCUCCAUCCACUCUCUAGUAGUGUUGAAGCGGGCCGAGGCGCGCCCCAGCCGAAAUGCAGCUCCGGAGUCCGCGCAGAGAGGGACAAAGGCGAGGAGGCAGACCUCGCUGCUGAUACAGUUGCCUCCCGGGAAUGAGCAUCUUCCUAGCACUGGGAGCGCCUUGGGCUUGGUUGCAGUAGGGCGCCGUGCGACGUCGCCCAACCCUUGACACUCGCCUUCUCUCCGAGGGCGCAGGGCACGUGGGACGGCACUGCCUGGACCCGUUGUUUAUAGUAUUGUGCGUGACUAAAUAGCCGGAUCGCUGCCAAGCACGUGGCCGCUCACGCUGAAUGGAACCGUGGCGCGCGGCCAGGGCGCCCACGGACUUGCGUGCCCCAGCACCUGCCGCCGCGCCGGGGCUGGAGGGGCGCGGCACCGACAGAAUGGCCGCACGAGGGUCAUGCAAAUAGCAGACUUUCGAAAGGUUAGAUCGCAGCCACCUGUUCCUUGUAAAACGUCGGAAAAGGAAGCCGGAGUAGGCCAGUGGUUUGGUGUCACGUGGGGUGAGCUCCCUAGUUCUGCCUCUGGCCCCGGGGCCCCGCUUAGCCGUUGCGAAGGUGCCAGGAGUCUUCGGCGCGAUCAGAUCUCAUCUUGUAGAAGGGAAACUGUUUGCAUGAUAGUCUUAUCUCUUUGAGCAGAAAGGCAUCGAAAUUAUCUGCAUUUCGUGAAAAUAUACGGAAUAUCUGUAAGCCGCCAAUUGACCUUCAGUCUUCUAAAAUGCCUGGUCUAUUGUCCAUUGGAGGUCAUCUUUUCUUCUCACAUUAAAUUUAAUAAAAAUCAUUGUCUGUUUCAAGCUGAUGUCAGAAGGAUGUUACCCAAGAACAUAUUUGCCAAUACUAAGUUGGUUCAAUUGCAUUUAUUU
RNAcentral lists this long non-coding RNA (1191 nucleotides) under Equus caballus (horse). RNAcentral describes it as "lncRNA (ENSECAG00000059685.1)". Lineage: Eukaryota; Metazoa; Chordata; Mammalia; Perissodactyla; Equidae. The record is from RNAcentral.